Molecule: ribosomal RNA, 1696 nt
Filed under: metagenome
Description: bacterial LSU rRNA
Rfam family: Bacterial large subunit ribosomal RNA
Source: RNAcentral
GGGAUUGAUAGACUCAUCAGUGGUAGAGGAGCAAUCUGUAAGGACGAAGCCUGAGUGAAAACAAAGGUGGACUGAACAGAAGAGAGAAUGCCGGAAUGAGUAGCGAGAUAUAAGUAAGAAUCUUAUGGGCCGAAUAUCUAAGGUUUCCUGAGUAAAGCUGAUCUUCUCAGGGUAAGUCGGGACCUAAGGCGAGGACGAGAGUCGUAGUCGAUGGACGACUGGCAGAGAUUCCAGUACUAUAAUCAAUCAGAACUGUGGGGACGCAGGAGGAUAAGCAAACCGGGGAAAGGGAAAACCCGGUCAAGCACAAAGUUUAGGCAGUAGGCAAAUCCGCUGUCAUAUGAUGAAGUGCGAUGAGGACGAAAAGGAGUAGGGAAGUUGCUGAAUCCACACUGCCGAGAAAGGCCGCUAUAGUGUUGAUUAUACCCGUACCGUAAACCGACACAGGUAGAUGAGGAGAAAAUCCACAGGCCGACGGGAGAAGUGUUGUUAAGGAACUCGGCAAAAUGACCCCGUAACUUAGGGAUAAGGGGAGCCAACGAGAGUUGGUCACAGAAAAGAGGCUCACGCAACUGUUUAGCAAAAACAUAGGUCUCUGCGAAACCGUAAGGUGAAGUAUAGGGGCUGACACCUGCCCGGUGCUGGAAGGUCAAAAGGAGAGGUUAGCGUAAGCGAAGCUUUGAAUUCAAGCCCCAGUAAACGGCGGCCGUAACUAUAACGGUCCUAAGGUAGCGAAAUUCCUUGUCAGGUAAGUUCUGACCCGCACGAAAGGUGUAAUGAUGUGAGCACUGUCUCGACAACACGCCCGGUGAAAUUGAAGAGCUAGUGGAGAUACUAGCUGCCCGCAAUAGGACGGAAAGACCCCAUGGAGCUUUACUGCAAUCUAAUACUGGGAUUCGAUGAUGUAUGUACAGGAUAGGAGGGAGACUGAGAAGAUAGGACGCCAGUCUUGUCGGAGUCGACGGUGGGAUACCUCUCUUAUAUCAUUGAAUUUCUAACCCUGUUCCGUAAUCCGGGAGGGGGACAAUGUUAGGUGGGCAGUUUGACUGGGGCGGUCGCCUCCUAAAGAGUAACGGAGGCGCUCGAAGGUCACCUCAGAAUGAUUGGAAACCAUUCAAAGAGUGUAAAGGCAAAAGGUGGCUUGACUGCGAGGUCGACGGACCGAGCAGGUACGAAAGUAGGACUUAGUGAUCCGGUGGUAAUAAGUGGGAAUGCCAUCGCUCAACGGAUAAAAGCUACCCUGGGGAUAACAGGCUUAUCUCCCCCAAGAGUUCACAUCGACGGGGAGGUUUGGCACCUCGAUGUCGGCUCAUCGCAUCCUGGGGCUGAAGUCGGUCCCAAGGGUUGGGCUGUUCGCCCAUUAAAGCGGUACGCGAGCUGGGUUCAGAACGUCGUGAGACAGUUCGGUCCCUAUCCGUUGUGGGAGUAGGAAAUUUGAGAGGAGCUGUCCUUAGUACGAGAGGACCGGGAUGGACGAACCACUGGUGGACCAGUUGCAUACCAAAUGCACAGCUGGGUAGCCAAGUUUGGAACGGAUAAACGCUGAAGGCAUCUAAGCGUGAAGCCGCCCUCAAUACAAGAUUUCCCAUCACUAUAAGUGAGUAAGACCCCUUGAAGACUACAAGGUUGAUAGGUCAGAGGUGUAAGUGCAGUAAUGUAUUUAGCUGACUGAUACUAAUAGGUCGAGGGCUUGACC